GUUCGUCUUCAGGGGCAGGGUGCAAUUCCCGACCGGUGGUAAAAGUCCACGAACUGCUUGUUACAAGUGGUUGAAUCGGUGCAAAUCCGAUACCGACAGUACAGUCUGGAUAAAGAAGAUAGAG
This is a non-coding RNA of Tetragenococcus halophilus NBRC 12172, 124 nucleotides long. NCBI's taxonomy places the organism in Bacteria, Bacillati, Bacillota, Bacilli, Lactobacillales, Enterococcaceae. The record is from Rfam.